AGGCAGAGAGGAGGAGGUGGUAGAGUGAGAGGAGCCGUGAAGAAGGUCUGAGGUUGAGCAGGCGGUGAUGGAGGUGUCCCAGAGAGCAAGACUGUGGAAGUGGGGGGUGGGGAGGAGCGGGGCAUGAUCAGCAGUAAACUCUACCUGAAGCCCAGGGAGCUGAUGCAGCCAAUCAAGAUCUGUCUGAAGAGGCGAGGGCGGAGUGAGGAGUGGGUGAUCACCGGUGUGGAGGAGGAGAGGGGUGGAGCCUCGCGGCGAGGCAGAAAGUGAGGGAGGGGCCAACAGAAUGCAGGGCAGCAGCUUGUCCCAGAUGGCUUCCCAGUGAUUAAGAAGCAGAGAAGUUAGGUCAAACCCCUCCCCUUCCCUGCCCUACCCUUCCCCUUCCCUGCCCUACUCAUGCAACUCUACCAGGCUCUGACCUACGAAACAACAUCACCAUCCAACCCCCCAACUCCGUCUUGAUGUCAUUGGAGGAGUAUUGGACCACGCCCCUUUUAUUGGAAAAAUGUCAUCUCUGCUCUGACUGAGUGAAUACACACGUGUGACCAACAUCUUCCCCCUGCUAGGAGACUGGGGUAUGGACAAACUGCUGUGUGUGGACCAUCUCACAGUACAGAAUCAAUUGGGGGCUGCCACAUAGACAGCCGUGGCAUAACGACAAGGAACGUACAGAUUUCUGCUUGAUGGAGAAGCAUGAUUGUGUGGUUGAGUUCCUCCAAGUUACCAAUUGUUAAACAAGAGGACAAAUGGAUGUUUAAAAAAAUGUGGAGGUUUUUGUUGUACCUUUUUUCUACCUCACCUUGUCUUUAGAGCUCUGUGCUUGAGUUCUAGUUUUCAGCACUUAGAUCGUCAAUUAUGAAUGUGUUUUACGCUGUGGGUCAGUUGUGCUCUGUUUAAGUCUACAUCUCACUGCCCAGACCUUUACAACAUCAUUGUGUUAAAGUUUUCAAUGACCCAUGUAGAAAAAACAGCAGCUAUAUUUGCCUCUUGUGCAGAGGAGUUUGGGUUCAUUCAUAUAGCAAAUGUUUCAUUGCGAGUUGCCAACAAAUCAGGUUUUACACUGCUGUUAGUUCAGUUUCACAAGAAUUGACGACUUUCAUUGGUUGCGUGUCAAUCAUCACAGGCCUACAUCUUCCGAUUCUGCUUCAGAUUGUUCUAGAAUGGAAUCACGUCAUGGUGGUUGUCAUCACGUUUGUCAUUAUUACUGUUCUCCCCAGGUGUUUGACUGUUUUCUGUUUAAAAACCAGAUUAAAGAUGUUCUUAACACGUGUCCUUGUGUGAAUCUAUUUUAAGUGCAGCCUAAAUAGCCGAGA
Molecule: non-coding RNA, 1313 nt
Organism: Salmo salar (Atlantic salmon)
Lineage: Eukaryota; Metazoa; Chordata; Actinopteri; Salmoniformes; Salmonidae
Source: RefSeq, a predicted model, not a curated record